AACGAACGCUGGCGGUAGGCCUAACACAUGCAAGUCGAACGCUCCGCAAGGGGAGUGGCGCACGGGUGAGUAACACGUGGGAACCUACCUUCUGGCACGGAACAACCAAGGGAAACUUUGGCUAAGACCGUAUACGACCUCCGGGUGAAAGAUUGAUCGCCGGAAGAGGGGCCCGCGUCCGAUUAGGUAGUUGGUGAGGUAACGGCUCACCAAGCCUUCGAUCGGUAGCUGGUCUGAGAGGAUGACCAGCCACACUGGGACUGAGACACGGCCCAGACUCCUACGGGAGGCAGCAGUGGGGAAUCUUGCGCAAUGGGCGAAAGCCUGACGCAGCGACGCCGCGUGAGGGAUGACGGCCUCGGUU
RNAcentral lists this ribosomal RNA (364 nucleotides) under uncultured bacterium. Its description in RNAcentral is "bacterial SSU rRNA". It matches the Rfam family "Bacterial small subunit ribosomal RNA", at positions 29 to 424 of the family's 1533-position model. The record is from RNAcentral.